AGCUUUGCACAGUGGCAGUAUUGUAGCCAAUGAGGUUUAUGUGAGGUGCGAUUAUUGCUGAUUAUUGCUAAAUGAA
Small nuclear RNA from Dipodomys ordii (Ord's kangaroo rat), 76 nucleotides. Its record names the gene U4. It matches the Rfam family "U4 spliceosomal RNA". From Rfam's summary of the family: U4 small nuclear RNA (U4 snRNA) is a component of the major U2-dependent spliceosome. The structure of U4 snRNA from yeast and human has been reported. U4 snRNA presents a k-turn RNA motif in the 5p-SL related to recognition of Snu13 protein. Lineage: Eukaryota; Metazoa; Chordata; Mammalia; Rodentia; Heteromyidae. The record is from Ensembl.